GAUGAACGCUGGCGGCGUGCCUAAUACAUGCAAGUCGAGCGAACGGACGAGAAGCUUGCUUCUCUGAUGUUAUCGGCGGACGGGUGAGUAACACGUGGAUAUCCUACCUAUAAGACUGGGAUAACUUCGGGAAACCGGAGCUAAUACCGGAUAAUAUUUUGAACCGCAUGGUUCAAAAGUGAAAGACGGUCUUGCUGUCACUUAUAGAUGGAUCCGCGCUGCAUUAGCUAGUUGGUAAGGUAACGGCUUACCAAGGCAACGAUGCAUAGCCGACCUGAGAGGGUGAUCGGCCACACUGGAACUGAGACACGGUCCAGACUCCUACGGGAGGCAGCAGUAGGGAAUCUUCCGCAAUGGGCGAAAGCCUGACGGAGCAACGCCGCGUGAGUGAUGAAGGUCUUCGGAUCGUAAAACUCUGUUAUUAGGGAAGAACAUAUGUGUAAGUAACUGCGCACAUCUUGACGGUACCUAAUCAGAAAGCCACGGCUAACUACGUG
Molecule: ribosomal RNA, 497 nt
Filed under: uncultured bacterium
Lineage: Bacteria
Description: partial 16S ribosomal RNA
Rfam family: Bacterial small subunit ribosomal RNA
Source: RNAcentral